Molecule: ribosomal RNA, 412 nt
Filed under: uncultured bacterium
Lineage: Bacteria
Description: bacterial SSU rRNA
Rfam family: Bacterial small subunit ribosomal RNA
Source: RNAcentral
GGCGAACGGGUGAGUAACACGUGAGUAACCUGCCCUUGACUCUGGGAUAAGCCUGGGAAACCGGGUCUAAUACUGGAUACGACCUUCUGGCGCAUGCCAUGUUGGUGGAAAGCUUUUGUGGUUUUGGAUGGACUCGCGGCCUAUCAGCUUGUUGGUGGGGUAAUGGCCUACCAAGGCGACGACGGGUAGCCGGCCUGAGAGGGUGACCGGCCACACUGGGACUGAGACACGGCCCUAGACUCCUACGGGAGGCAGCAGUGGGGAAUAUUGCGCAAUGGCGGAAGCCUGACGCAGCGACGCCGCGUGGGGGAUGACGGCCUUCGGGUUGUAAACCUCUUUCGACCUCGACGAAGCUUUCGGGUGACGGUAGGGGUAGAAGAAGCACCGGCCAACUACGUGCCAGCCGCCUCGG